AGAGUUUGAUCAUGGCUCAGAACGAACGCUGGCGGCAGGCUUAACACAUGCAAGUCGAGCGCCCCGCAAGGGGAGCGGCAGACGGGUGAGUAACGCGUGGGAAUCUACCCAAUACUACGGAAUAGCUCCGGGAAACUGGAAUUAAUACCGUAUGUGCCCUACGGGGGAAAGAUUUAUCGGUAUUGGAUGAGCCCGCGUUGGAUUAGCUAGUUGGUGGGGUAAUGGCCCACCAAGGCGACGAUCCAUAGCUGGUCUGAGAGGAUGAUCAGCCACACUGGGACUGAGACACGGCCCAGACUCCUACGGGAGGCAGCAGUGGGGAAUAUUGGACAAUGGGCGAAAGCCUGAUCCAGCCAUGCCGCGUGAGUGAUGAAGGCCUUAGGGUUGUAAAGCUCUUUCAGUGGGGAAGAUAAUGACGGUACCCACAGAAGAAGC
Molecule: ribosomal RNA, 435 nt
Filed under: uncultured Rhizobium sp.
Lineage: Bacteria; Pseudomonadati; Pseudomonadota; Alphaproteobacteria; Hyphomicrobiales; Rhizobiaceae
Description: bacterial SSU rRNA
Rfam family: Bacterial small subunit ribosomal RNA
Source: RNAcentral